RNAcentral lists this long non-coding RNA (2727 nucleotides) under Sorghum bicolor (sorghum). Its description in RNAcentral is "long non-coding RNA (SBIC_LNC006529)". Lineage: Eukaryota; Viridiplantae; Streptophyta; Magnoliopsida; Poales; Poaceae. The record is from RNAcentral.
CAGGAGGGGGUGGGCGCCCAGGUCAACUGGGCGGGCGCCCAGUGCCUGGCUCCGUUCAGCCUCCACUUCCUUCCCGUGGCUUCUGGAGUCCUCUAGAUGGUAGAAAAUUGCGCAGUGCGUUGAUAUCUCCAUGUAAUCCCGACAUGUGGGCCUUUCUUCCUUAUUUCCUGAUAACCCCCUGCAGAAACAGAUAAAUAACAAAACUCGUGGAAUUCUGUCAGAUCAAACCCUAAUUCUAGGUGUUGGUUGUAUAUUGGUCCUUUCUCUUGUUUAUUUGGUAAUUAAAAUUGAUACUUAACAACCAUCAACAAAUACCCCCAUACUUAGGCUUUUACUCGUCCUCGAGAAAAGGAUGGUUAAGAACAGUAUCUGGGGUAAAACAUUUUUAAAACAUUCUCUUCAUACUGCAGGGUGUUAAAAUCUACUGUGUACUAUAGUCAGGGAAGUAUAUGGUUAAGAGUAAAGAUCCUUUUCUUCUUAAUCCUGUCACUUGGAGUUUUUGUAUAUUUUUGAAAAGAAAGUUAGCAUACCUUUUAUCCUCAUAGGUUCUCUCAGAUCACACAUCAUCUUUUAUAUAUCUCACUGAGGCUGUUUUAAUUUGCAAAAUUUCUCAAGCAUAUUUAUUGCCUGAUCAAAACGGGAUCCGAGGAGGGGAAUGUCAUACUCUUAGAUCAAAGACUUUGGAAAUUAAAAUCUUUGUCAACUCUUGCUGGCAUGUUGCUUAUUAGAGGGACCAUGGGCUAUCAUUCAUUUUUUUCUCUUCUUUUCUCUUUUUUUAAGUGGAUACCGAGGUACCCCUAAUUCUACUGCCGGACACUUGUCCAUUUUUUUUCUUUCUGCGAGGUUAUCGAGCACUUGCUCCUUUUUAUUUCCUCAAAUUAUUCAUAUUUUUGCAUAGCCCAUGCCUCUAAUGCAAUAAUACUUCGGAAGAGUGAAUCUUUCUGAAUAAUGUCCUGAUCUUAGGAGCAUGAUAAAUAUCUCAACAAGCUUGGUCUAACUCAUUUUGAACAAACUCAAUACAGAGUAAAUAGCUUUUAUAAUCAUAAUUAAUAUUUUUAGUUUUAUUAGGCAUAUAAAACACUGAGGAUGGUAGCUGGAAUUUUUGAAUAAAUUCUACAAGCAACAAUGAUAUCAAGAAUGAGAAACUCAUACUCUACCAUCUCACAUUCCAUAUUGACUUAAGUAACACAGGGUUUUUAAAAUGAUUUUCAAUAAUUUGUAGUUUCCAGGAGAUAUCAUGAUUAGUAACAUUUUAAUCUUUUUAAUUGAUCAUGUUGGAAACAAUAUUCUGCAUAAUCUAAGAUAUAUAUGAGUAUGUGUAAAGUGUGCAGAGUGUGUACCUAAAUCGUGGAGUGGUGUAGUCAAAGUGUGUUUGGCAUGUCGAGGGAUCUCCCCCAUACUUGUUUUCUGCUUUCUUGCACAAAAAUAAAGUAGAGACACACAAGACAUAAUAAUAAUAAUAAUAAUAAUAAUAAUAAUAAUAAUAAUACACUUUAUUAAUCUUGAGGCAUUUAUUAUGAAUGACUAGUAGCAAACUGACGAUAAUAGUAGCAAACUGACGAUAAUAGUAAACCUAAACCGAAUUUAAAGAUAGACAACUAAAAUGCAUUGCGUCAAGAUCUAAUCUAGAUAACUUAGUGGCGCUCUAAUUCCUUGAUCUUCUUAUUGGCACUGGCAAGAUCCUGCCUAAGGCCUAGUAUAACGGUGUUGUGGUUAGAGAGCUGCCUAGUGAGGGAAUUAACUGAGGACUGGAGGUCUAUGGUAACUCUGUCUAGCCUGCGACGCUUGGGAGGUGUUUCAAAAGCAUUGAGAGCAUGCUUCGAGGCUGCCUUUGGAGGGAUGAAACGGACUUUGGCUACUCUAAUCCCUUCGAAGUAAUGCCUUCCUCCUCCGUAGUGUAGCGGAUACUGCUGAUCUCGCCACUCCGGUUGGUCUUGACUCCAACGACCCUCUCAUUGGGUCUGGGUGGAAGGAUCCUUGUGCCGGUUGGCACUUUGAUGGUGGUCUUCGUCUGGGAUGAUGAUCCCUUGAGGAGUAGGGGUUGUGGCGGUGCGGUGAGAACUGGUUGAGCAUGGUAGGAUUGGGCGGAGCUGCGCUGGCGUAAUGGCAUGGCUUCUAGCUGUCGCUCUGUGUUGGCCGGGACGAGAGCACGAGCGUUGGGGUCUUCCACAGGCUCCAUGUUGAGGUUGAAGGGGACGACUUCCCAAUCAUCGUGGAACUUCUCGGCCAUUGGAGCAGCGAGGGGCUAAUCAAGCUCUAAUUGAAAAAGAAGAGAAGGCUUGGGUGGAUUGGUGUUUGAAAACUGAUGUCAGGGGUCUGUUUAUAUAGGGGUCCAAAAGUGCCUCUAGGGGUUGUUCGGGUUGCUCCCGUCGAUGUGCGUGAGAAACUUUCCAUGUGAGGGAUUAUUCGGAUUACCAUAAGUGUAUUUUCCAUAACAGAGAAAAUCGGGACCGAAGGGGAACAGGUGCUGGGCGCCCGCCCUCUCUCUGUCUCCUCUGUGGGCUCGCUUCCUCGAGCGUGUUUCUAGAUGCAAAACUUUUUAGGAAAAUAUAUGUAUGCCCCAAAAACGUUAGAUUAAAAAUGUUGGGCUCUAAUUCUCCAUGGGAAGGUAAAAAUGGACUACGUCUAUUUCUUCUAAUUCUUUAUUGGGCUCUAAAAACAAUUUAAGACGUUGACCAUUUACCUUUAAUAACGUACCUUCGUUAUUUUGAAGUGUGAUAGCUCCGU